Molecule: ribosomal RNA, 459 nt
Filed under: uncultured bacterium
Lineage: Bacteria
Description: partial 16S ribosomal RNA
Rfam family: Bacterial small subunit ribosomal RNA
Source: RNAcentral
CCUACGGGUGGCAGCAGUGAGGAAUAUUGGUCAAUGGUCGGGAGACUGAACCAGCCAAGCCGCGUGAGGGAUGAAGGUACAGAGUAUCGUAAACCUCUUUUGUCAGGGAACAAAGGCGGGGACGUGUCCCCGGAUGAAUGUACCUGAAGAACAAGCAUCGGCUAACUCCGUGCCAGCAGCCGCGGUAAUACGGAGGAUGCGAGCGGUAUCCGGGUUUGUUGGGUUUAACGGGUGCGCAGGCGGAAGAUCAAGUCAGCGGUAAAAUGGAGAGGCUAAACCCCGGCGAGCCGUUGAAAAUGGUUUUCUUGAGGGAGUGAGAGGUAUGCGGAAUGCGUGGUGUAGCGGUGAAAUGCAUAGAUAUCACGAAGAACUCCGAUUGCGAAGGCAGCAUACCGGCGCUCAACUGACGCUGAUGCACGAAAGUGUGGGUAUCGAACAGGAUUAGAUACCCUUGUAGUC